Molecule: ribosomal RNA, 406 nt
Filed under: uncultured bacterium
Lineage: Bacteria
Description: partial 16S ribosomal RNA
Rfam family: Bacterial small subunit ribosomal RNA
Source: RNAcentral
AUUGAACGCUGGCGGCAGGCCUAACACAUGCAAGUCGAACGAGUGGCGGACGGGUGAGUAAUGUCUGGGAAACUGCCCGAUGGAGGGGGAUAACUACUGGAAACGGUAGCUAAUACCGCAUACCAUCGGAUGUGCCCAGAUGGGAUUAGCUAGUAGGUGGGGUAACGGCUCACCUAGGCGACGAUCCCUAGCUGGUCUGAGAGGAUGACCAGCCACCCUGGAACUGAGACACGGGCCAGACUCCUACGGGAGGCAGCAGUGGGGGAUAUUGCACAAUGGGCGAAAGCCUGAUGCAGCGACGCCGCGUGGGGGAUGAAGGCUUUCGGGUUGUAAAGCACUUUCAGCGAGGAGGCGUUACUCGCAGAAGAAGCACCGGCUAACUCCGUGCCAGCAGCCGCGGUAAUUC